RNAcentral lists this ribosomal RNA (301 nucleotides) under uncultured bacterium. RNAcentral describes it as "partial 16S ribosomal RNA". It matches the Rfam family "Bacterial small subunit ribosomal RNA", at positions 509 to 807 of the family's 1533-position model. The record is from RNAcentral.
CAGUAGCCGCGGUAAUACGUAGGUGGCAAGCGUUGUCCGGAAUUAUUGGGCGUAAAGGGCUCGCAGGCGGUUUCUUAAGUCUGAUGUGAAAGCCCCCGGCUCAACCGGGGAGGGUCAUUGGAAACUGGGAAACUUGAGUGCAGAAGAGGAGAGAGGAAUUCCACGUGUAGCGGUGAAAUGCGUAGAGAUGUGGAGGAACACCAGUGGCGAAGGCGACUCUCUGGUCUGUAACUGACGCUGAGGAGCGAAAGCGUGGGGAGCGAACAGGAUUAGAUACCCGCGUAGUCCCUGUCUCUUAUAC